UUGCCCUCUUAUGGUUGUUGCAGUGUUUCAGGAGGCUAACACAGAACAAUAAAGCACCUGUUCGUAAACCCUAGAGAGGAGAUCAGGAACUUCUCAUUGGAUUCUGUCUUGAUUUGCCAUUG
Small nucleolar RNA from Echinops telfairi (small Madagascar hedgehog), 122 nucleotides. Lineage: Eukaryota; Metazoa; Chordata; Mammalia; Afrosoricida; Tenrecidae. The record is from Ensembl.